GAUGAACGCUGGCGGCGUGCCUAAUACAUGCAAGUCGAGCGAACAGAUGAGGAGCUUGCUCCUCUGACGUUAGCGGCGGACGGGUGAGUAACACGUGGAUAACCUACCUAUAAGACUGGGAUAACUUCGGGAAACCGGAGCUAAUACCGGAUAAUAUAUUGAACCGCAUGGUUCAAUAGUGAAAGACGGUUUUGCUGUCACUUAUAGAUGGAUCCGCGCCGCAUUAGCUAGUUGGUAAGGUAACGGCUUACCAAGGCAACGAUGCGUAGCCGACCUGAGAGGGCGAGCGGCCACACUGGAACUGAGACAAGGGCCAGACUCCUACGGGAGGCAGCAGUAGGGAAUCUUCAGAAAUGGGCGAAAGCCUGACGGAGCAACGCCGCGUGAGUGAUGAAGGUCUUCGGAUCGUAAAACUCUGUUAUUAGGGAAGAACAAAUGUGUAAGUAACUAUGCACGUCUUGACGGUACCUAAUCAGAAAGCCACGGCUAACUACGUG
Molecule: ribosomal RNA, 497 nt
Filed under: uncultured bacterium
Lineage: Bacteria
Description: partial 16S ribosomal RNA
Rfam family: Bacterial small subunit ribosomal RNA
Source: RNAcentral